AUUGAACGCUGGCGGCAUGCUUUACACAUGCAAGUCGAACGGUAACAGGCCUUCGGGUGCUGACGAGUGGCGAACGGGGGAGUAAUGCAUCGGAACGUACCCAGAGGUGGGGGAUAACGCAGCGAAAGCUGUGCUAAUACCGCAUGUGAUCUGAGGAUGAAAGCGGGGGACCGAGCAGCAAUGUUUGGCCUCGCGCCUUUGGAGCGGCCGAUGUCGGAUUAGCUAGUUGGUGGGGUAAAGGCCUACCAAGGCGACGAUCCGUAGCUGGUCUGAGAGGACGACCAGCCACACGGGGACUGAGACACGGCCCAGACUCCUACGGGAGGCAGCAGUGGGGAAUUUUGGACAAAGGGCGAAAGCCUGAUGCAGCAAGGCCGCGUGCGGGAAGAAGGCCUUCGGGUUGUAAACCGCUUUUGGCAGGAACGAAACGGUGUCCGCUAAUACCGGGCGCUAAUGACGGUACCUGCAGAAUAAGCACCGGCUAACUACGUG
Molecule: ribosomal RNA, 492 nt
Filed under: uncultured bacterium
Lineage: Bacteria
Description: partial 16S ribosomal RNA
Rfam family: Bacterial small subunit ribosomal RNA
Source: RNAcentral